UGCUAAGAAUUCAACAGCCAUUGGUAUGAUU
This 31-nucleotide non-coding RNA is filed under the name Rattus norvegicus (Norway rat). The record is from RNAcentral. Lineage: Eukaryota; Metazoa; Chordata; Mammalia; Rodentia; Muridae.